CUACGGGGGGCACCAGUGGGGAAUAUUGCACAAUGGGCGCAAGCCUGAUGUAGCCAUGCCGCGUGUAUGAAGAAGGCCUUCGGGUUGUAAAGUACUUUCAGCGGGGAGGAAGGGAGUAAAGUUAAUACCUUUGCUCAUUGACGUUACCCGCAGAAGAAGCACCGGCUAACUCCGUGCCAGCAGCCGCGGUAAUACGGAGGGUGCAAGCGUUAAUCGGAAUUACUGGGCGUAAAGCGCACGCAGGCGGUUUGUUAAGUCAGAUGUGAAAUCCCCGGGCUCAACCUGGGAACUGCAUCUGAUACUGGCAAGCUUGAGUCUCGUAGAGGGGGGUAGAAUUCCAGGUGUAGCGGUGAAAUGCGUAGAGAUCUGGAGGAAUACCGGUGGCGAAGGCGGCCCCCUGGACGAAGACUGACGCUCAGGUGCGAAAGCGUGGGAAGCAAACAGGAUUAGAUACCCUGGUAGUC
This 464-nucleotide ribosomal RNA is filed under the name uncultured bacterium. Its description in RNAcentral is "partial 16S ribosomal RNA". It matches the Rfam family "Bacterial small subunit ribosomal RNA", at positions 339 to 795 of the family's 1533-position model. The record is from RNAcentral.